GCGGAAGUGGCGGAAUUUGGUAGACGCACCAGAUUUAGGUUCUGGUUAUUGAAAUUAUAAUAUAAUACGAGUUCAAAUCUCGUCUUCCGCA
This 91-nucleotide transfer RNA is filed under the name Enterobacteriaceae endosymbiont of Donacia thalassina. RNAcentral's name for it is "tRNA-Leu". It matches the Rfam family "tRNA". From Rfam's summary of the family: Transfer RNA (tRNA) molecules are approximately 80 nucleotides in length. Their secondary structure includes four short double-helical elements and three loops (D, anti-codon, and T loops). The record is from RNAcentral. Lineage: Bacteria; Pseudomonadati; Pseudomonadota; Gammaproteobacteria; Enterobacterales; Enterobacteriaceae.